Molecule: transfer RNA, 56 nt
Filed under: Spirocerca lupi
Lineage: Eukaryota; Metazoa; Nematoda; Chromadorea; Rhabditida; Thelaziidae
Description: tRNA-Tyr
Source: RNAcentral
AAAAUUUUAGUUUAAGUAGAAUAAAGAAUUGUAAAUUCUUGGGUUGAGAAAUUUUG